Molecule: long non-coding RNA, 2575 nt
Organism: Chroicocephalus ridibundus (black-headed gull)
Lineage: Eukaryota; Metazoa; Chordata; Aves; Charadriiformes; Laridae
Exons: 4
Source: RefSeq, a predicted model, not a curated record
GUUGGAGAUAAGCUGUGGGGUACCGGCUGGGAAAGAGGAGCGGGAAUCUGUGGAGAGGAGGAAGUUGGAGAAUGUGAUUGUAGCUGCUGAGAAAACAGUAACAGCAAGAAAAGCGUAACUACGGCGUCUGUGACAGCUAAGGAGGACCUGCUGCACUGAAAGAGCUCAUGGCGUGCUCAGUUUUAAACAGAUGAAUAAUUAGAUUCUUCUUCAGCAAUGCACCGAACCACACAUUUAGCAGUAACAUCUGCAUUGGCCAAUACACUUUAAGACGAUUUGCAUGAAGUUAGGCAAGGAAAGCACAGACUUAAAAUCCACUGAGGUUGGAGGGAGGCUGUCCAUUGAUUCCAGCAUGUGCUGAAUUAAAAAAACCUGUGGAAGUUAUGCACUCAACUUGGGAGCUUUUGCAAAUCUCACUAGGCAUCUGCCUGCACCUUUAAAUGUCAGCAGUAAAAGAAAAUGCCAUACCUGCUAGAUCUGCAUAACUCCGUAGGAAAGAAGAAAUAGCCAGCAGCUAACAUGCAACAAAAGAGCAAACACGAGGCUGGCUAGUUUGUCCCCAGUCGGCUUUGCGCUGUCGAAAUGAUCCUGAGCAUCCAGGCAACACACAUACCCAGAAGCCUUCGGUAAUAGAUAAGGGAACAAACAAGCUGUGCGCUCAGCUCUGGAGAUUAAUGAACUGAUAUAGUGGCUGCUCUGCUGUGAACAGGAGAUGUUUGCUCCAUGUACAGGUGCGGGGCUGUGGAAGUUGAGCUGUUGUAAACCAACCUUGGCUAGCUAAUUUAGUUAAAUUAGUUUCCCUACUGUCAUACUCUUAUCAGUGGGGUGCUGUAUGUCAAUCCCAUUGAGCACCUUUCUACCCAAAAUGAUCUGCUGCGGGGAGCCCUGGAAGUGUUCGAGGCCAGGCUGGAUGGGGCUUUGAGCAGCCUGGUCUCAUGGGAAGUGUCCCUGCCCAUGGCAGGGGGUUUGGAACUAGAUGAUCUUUAAGGUCCCUUCCAACCCAAACCAUUCUGUGAUUCUAAAUGUGCGCAGCCCCUCGUGGUAAGAUGUCGUGGGUAACCAGGGGUGCUAGGAAAGCAGUGGGUGUACAAACCAUGCAUAGGAAUGCAAUGCUCCACACUGCCUGUUCUGGGAGGAUGGUUGCCCCAAAGUUGGUAAUGCUGAGAAGAAAGCAACAACGAUGAAGUUUGCCUAAAAUGACCAUUUGCAGGAUUAAACAGGACACCUGGGACAUUUUUGAGAAAAGGAGGCAGGCUGCAUUGCGACAGAAACAUGAACAUUUGUAACAAGGGGGUCAGACCUCGCUGUGAGAGGCGGUACCAAAUCACCAGUCAAAUCGAAAUCAGGUUUGGCAUUGCCAUAAGUCACCCCAGCAGCACCGUGACUUGUGUCUGCACCUGAUGGAGCACUCCCCGUGUCAGAGGCUGUGAGUGUCCUGCACCCAGCUACCGGACUGAUGGUUUGGGGUGCAGCAGGUAGAGACCCGCACUUAGAGUAUGCAUAUGUGGCCUUGUGGGAUGUUUUCUUGAUUGAGUGAGGAUAAGUGGGUUGCAGGGAGCAACUUGGGCACGUAUAAUGCUUGAGCACCCAUGCUCACAGAAAAGGGCAUGGGUACCCAUAACCACGUCUUGUGAGGGAUGGUGGGGACUGCCAAGGGUGCUUAACUCUGUGCAUACAUGUGAGGGGGGGACAUGAGGUUUUAUAAGUUUCUGAGAUUAAUUCUAGGAGGUUGUUUAGAAAAUUUAAGGUGUUUACUGACAUUAUUGAAGCGUUCAGUGUUGUGGUUUAUCUGUUGUACUGCUGAUACUGAUCUUGAAUGUAUAGAUUACUCACUGCUGAUUAUUUUUGUGUUAUCAAUAAGUAAAAAUUGUUUCAUCAAAUCAUGUGAGUGGAACAGGUUUUUCCCUAUGACAACUCACCUUCUAAAUAUGAGGAUUCACAAAUAAAAUAUAAAUAAAAAUAGAAAAUAGAAAUUGGUAAGAUACAUACAAGCUGAAUUCCAUGGAAAACACCACUAACACCAUGCAGUUAACAAAAUUGCACAAGAACAAGGGAAAAAAACCAAGGAGGAAACCAGGGCAUUCUGUAAAACAAUGAUAGAAAAUCACAAUCUUAUUUCAUAUUUAUGACAAACAUAAAUGGGUAAUACAUUAAAGUCCAGUCCUAAACUUGGAACACAGAUCUCUCUCCCAUGCUCACAAAAAUAUCUGAACUAUUAACUAGUGAAAAAAGAUAAACCAGAACGGAUUCCUAGCUUUAAAUGAGUAAUUUCUGUGUGAAUAAGACUAUAGACCCCAUACUAUAAACGUUGUACAAUCUGGUUUGCACAACUUUACAACUUAUGUGUAUCUUCAAAAUAUUUUCUUGGCAUUCAAAGAACUUUCUCAGAUUUGUUUUAAAAAUAAUUCUGGUUCCUCUCUGAUAAAGUAAUUAGGGAAAACUUAAAUUUUGUUAGAUCUACCUCAGAUUAAAUUAUCACAGCUCCUUACUAAAUUAAUUAUUUAUGUACUGUACCUUGUAAAUGUAUUAAAUUAGAAGGCAGUGUAUGAGAGAACCUAUUACAUUUUUUUCUGAA